GAUGAACGCUGGCGGCGUGCCUAAUACAUGCAAGUCGAGCGAACAGACGAGGAGCUUGCUCCUCUGACGUUAGCGGCGGACGGGUGAGUAACACGUGGAUAACCUACCUAUAAGACUGGGAUAACUUUGGGAAACCGGAGCUAAUACCGGAUAAUAUAUUGAACCGCAUGGUUCAAUAGUUAAAGACGGUUUUGCUGUCACUUAUAGAUGGAUCCGCGCCGCAUUAGCUAGUUGGUAAGGUAACGGCUUACCAAGGCGACGAUGCGUAGCCGACCUGAGAGGGUGAUCGGCCACACUGGAACUGAGACACGGUCCAGACUCCUACGGGAGGCAGCAGUAGGGAAUCUUCCGCAAUGGGCGAAAGCCUGACGGAGCAACGCCGCGUGAGUGAUGAAGGUCUUCGGAUCGUAAAACUCUGUUAUUAGGGAAGAACAAAUGUGUAAGUAACUAUGCACGUCUUGACGGUACCUAAUCAGAAAGCCACGGCUAACUACGUG
RNAcentral lists this ribosomal RNA (497 nucleotides) under uncultured bacterium. RNAcentral's name for it is "partial 16S ribosomal RNA". It matches the Rfam family "Bacterial small subunit ribosomal RNA", at positions 28 to 507 of the family's 1533-position model. The record is from RNAcentral.